This 415-nucleotide ribosomal RNA is filed under the name uncultured bacterium. RNAcentral describes it as "bacterial SSU rRNA". It matches the Rfam family "Bacterial small subunit ribosomal RNA", at positions 358 to 771 of the family's 1533-position model. The record is from RNAcentral.
GGAAUAUUGGGCAAUGGACGGAAGUCUGACCCAGCCAUGCCGCGUGCAGGAUGAAGGCCUUCUGGGUUGUAAACUGCUUUUAUCUAGGGAGAAAAAGUCCAUGCGUGGAAAACUGACGGUACUAGAUGAAUAAGCACCGGCUAACUCCGUGCCAGCAGCCGCGGUAAGACGGAGGGUGCAAGCGUUGGCCGGAUUUAGUGGGGUUAAAGGGUGCGUAGGCGGCCCGUUAAGUCAGUGGUGAAAGCCUCCAGCUCAACUGGAGAACUGCCAUUGAUACUGACGGGCUUGAGUACAGACGAGGUUGGCGGAAUUGAUUGUGUAGCGGUGAAAUGCAUAGAUACAAUCAAGAACUCCGAUUGCGUAGGCAGCUAACUAGGCUGUAACUGACGCUGAGGCACGAAAGCGUGGGGAGCGA